This 72-nucleotide transfer RNA is filed under the name Bos taurus (domestic cattle). It matches the Rfam family "tRNA". From Rfam's summary of the family: Transfer RNA (tRNA) molecules are approximately 80 nucleotides in length. The record is from Rfam by way of RNAcentral. Lineage: Eukaryota; Metazoa; Chordata; Mammalia; Artiodactyla; Bovidae. RNAcentral also lists the same sequence under 1 other name.
UCCCUCAUAGCUCAGUUGGUAAAGAAUCUGCUUGCAAUGCAGGAGACCUGGGUUUGAUUCCUGGGUUGGGAA